UACGUAGGAGGCAAGCGUUGUCCGGAAUUACUGGGCGUAAAGCGCGUGUAGGUGGUGGGACAAGUCUGCUGUGAAAGCGCCUGGCUUAACCGGGCGAGGUCGGCGGAAACUGUCCGACUCGAGGACGGUAGAGGGGGGUGGAAUUCCCGGUGUAGUGGUGAAAUGCGGAGAGAUCGGGAGGAACACCUGUGGCGAAGGCGGCCCCCUGGGCCGGCCAUGACACUGAGACGCGAAGGCGUGGGGAGCGAACGGG
This 253-nucleotide ribosomal RNA is filed under the name uncultured bacterium. Its description in RNAcentral is "partial 16S ribosomal RNA". It matches the Rfam family "Bacterial small subunit ribosomal RNA", at positions 524 to 776 of the family's 1533-position model. The record is from RNAcentral.